AUCGCUUCUCGGCCUUUUGGCUAAGAUCAAGUGGAAUAUUAUUUGUAAAUAUAAAAAUUAUCAAUAUUGAUUUUUAACCAUUUACCCCCU
This 90-nucleotide small nuclear RNA is filed under the name Rhinolophus ferrumequinum (greater horseshoe bat). RNAcentral's name for it is "U2 spliceosomal RNA (ENSRFEG00010008174.1)". It matches the Rfam family "U2 spliceosomal RNA". Rfam says of the family: U2 is a small nuclear RNA (snRNA) component of the spliceosome (involved in pre-mRNA splicing). Complementary binding between U2 snRNA (in an area lying towards the 5' end but 3' to hairpin I) and the branchpoint sequence (BPS) of the intron results the bulging out of an unpaired adenosine, on the BPS, which initiates a nucleophilic attack at the intronic 5' splice site, thus starting the first of two transesterification reactions that mediate splicing. Lineage: Eukaryota; Metazoa; Chordata; Mammalia; Chiroptera; Rhinolophidae. The record is from Rfam by way of RNAcentral.